UGGAAGACGACGAUGUUGGGUAGUACGGAUGGUGGUGGUGGUGGGUGUCUGAACGCUGCGGUGGGCGUGAUGGUCUGUGGUCACCGUUCAGGCUAGUGCUUUGUUGUGUCGGUGGUGGCAUUUUCAGGGAAUUAGUUUCCUCCGAAAGUGAAAGUUGCCAGUCCUCUUUCCUUCUCUCUUCUCUUCCCUCUCUAGUCUCUCUGGUCCUUGGUUUCUCUCGCUACAGUACCCUCCUCUGCUCUUCAAGGCGGUGGAGACAGAGAGAGAAGGGGAAAGAAGAGUGGAAUGGAAAAGCCAGCGAGAUUGAAC
This 309-nucleotide unclassified non-coding RNA is filed under the name Hevea brasiliensis (rubber tree). The record is from RNAcentral. Lineage: Eukaryota; Viridiplantae; Streptophyta; Magnoliopsida; Malpighiales; Euphorbiaceae.